UACGGGGGGGGUAAGCGUUGUUCGGAAUUACUGGGCGUAAAGGGCUCGUAGGCGGCCAACUAAGUCAGACGUGAAAUCCCCCAGCUUAACUGGGGAACUGCGUCUGAUACUGGAUGGCUUGGAUUCGGGAGAGGAAUGCGGAAUUCCAGGUGUAGCGGUGAAAUGCGUAGAUAUCUGGAGGAACACCGGUGGCGAAGGCGGCAUUCUGGACCGACAUUGACGCUGAGGAGCGAAAGCCAGGGGAGCAAACGGG
RNAcentral lists this ribosomal RNA (253 nucleotides) under uncultured bacterium. RNAcentral's name for it is "partial 16S ribosomal RNA". It matches the Rfam family "Bacterial small subunit ribosomal RNA", at positions 524 to 776 of the family's 1533-position model. The record is from RNAcentral.